AGAAAUUAUGAAUUCUGGCGGGAGAUGUUUGCGAGCCUGCGCUUAAGUGCGCGGCAAGCGGUGUCUCCAAUUCACGCUGGUUAUUCUUACACACUGUGGAGUAUUUUCUACUUUUAUUAUCGAGGCGCUUGCGCUUCAACACCAAAACACAAACAAUCUAUUUUUAUUUUAUACCUAGUCAAAACAAAUCUGUCUCUGACAGUAACCAAAAUAUUCAAAACUUUCAACAACGGAUCUCUUGGUUCUCGCAUCGAUGAAGAACGCAGCGAAAUGCGAUACGUAAUGUGAAUUGCAGAAUUCCGUGAAUCAUCGAAUCUUUGAACGCACAUUGCGCCCCUUGGUAUUCCAGGGGGCAUGCCUGUUUGAGCGUCAUUUCCUUCUCAAAUACUUGUAUUUGGUUGUGAGUGACACUCUGUUUUUCUGAGUUAACUUGAAAUUGUUGGCCGCGGGCCAUUGCAGCUAGUGUUAUUCUGCGUCUUUCGCAGGGGCACGGCAUGUCGUAUUAGGUUUUACCAACUCCGGCACGUUGUCCUCUGAUCCAAACGGAAGUAGUAGAGCAUUGCUUCAAGCCCUGGCAAACAGUACUCUUUAAGUUUGACCUCAAAUCAGGUAGGAAUACCCGCUGAACUUAAGCAUAUCAAUAAGCGGAGGAAAAG
This 656-nucleotide ribosomal RNA is filed under the name Maudiozyma saulgeensis. Its description in RNAcentral is "Kazachstania saulgeensis partial 5.8S ribosomal RNA". The stretch from base 219 to 372 matches the Rfam family "5.8S ribosomal RNA". The record is from RNAcentral. Lineage: Eukaryota; Fungi; Ascomycota; Saccharomycetes; Saccharomycetales; Saccharomycetaceae.